This 358-nucleotide long non-coding RNA is filed under the name Homo sapiens (human). Its description in RNAcentral is "long non-coding RNA NONHSAT174855.1". The record is from RNAcentral. Lineage: Eukaryota; Metazoa; Chordata; Mammalia; Primates; Hominidae.
AGGACAAAUUUGCGGGGAAAGAGAGAAGAUUGGGCAAAAAUUUGGCAUGAGAACAGCCUUUAACCUGUCCCUUCAAUACAUUUGCUGCCUCAGAAAGGAAGAGGCCACAAGGAGCUCCUGGUUUCUACUACAGCCUCCAGAGUCUCUAAUUCCGUCCCCAAGGAUGGUGUGGGCAGCAUGGUUGGGGGGCAUCCACGGUCUUCAGCGGUCCCACUCUGGAGCCUCCCACACCACACUGUGGGCACUGUGGACAUUCAGCCAUUCUCCGUGAAGGAGCUAGAGCCAUCUUUGCCAAGAGCAAACCUGAUCAUAAUCCUCCCCGGCUUAAAACCGAUAUGCAGUAUAGCCUGCUGAUAGC